GGGCUGUCUCCGCCGAGUCCGGCCCCGCCGCGAGGCAGCCGGAGCCGGGGACCCAGAGGUACCACUGGGGUGAAUCGGCCCACGUGGCGACGUCAGCCGUCCGCCGCACGGACCGUAGGGCAGCCUUCCGUACGCCCGAACCCGACAGCUAACCCGGUAGGCGGUCCACGGAAGGAGUC
This 179-nucleotide small RNA is filed under the name Streptomyces bingchenggensis. Its description in RNAcentral is "c-di-AMP sequence". It matches the Rfam family "c-di-AMP riboswitch aptamer (ydaO/yuaA leader)". Rfam says of the family: This family represents a conserved RNA structure found upstream of the ydaO and yuaA genes in Bacillus subtilis and related genes in other bacteria. The record is from RNAcentral. Lineage: Bacteria; Bacillati; Actinomycetota; Actinomycetes; Kitasatosporales; Streptomycetaceae.